RNAcentral lists this ribosomal RNA (1370 nucleotides) under Psychrobacter fozii. Its description in RNAcentral is "16S ribosomal RNA". It matches the Rfam family "Bacterial small subunit ribosomal RNA", at positions 72 to 1440 of the family's 1533-position model. The record is from RNAcentral. Lineage: Bacteria; Pseudomonadati; Pseudomonadota; Gammaproteobacteria; Moraxellales; Moraxellaceae.
AGCUUGCUAUCAGGCGUCGAGCGGCGGACGGGUGAGUAAUACUUAGGAAUCUACCUAGUAGUGGGGGAUAGCACGGGGAAACUCGUAUUAAUACCGCAUACGACCUACGGGAGAAAGGGGGCAGUUUACUGCUCUCGCUAUUAGAUGAGCCUAAGUCGGAUUAGCUAGAUGGUGGGGUAAAGGCCUACCAUGGCGACGAUCUGUAGCUGGUCUGAGAGGAUGAUCAGCCACACCGGGACUGAGACACGGCCCGGACUCCUACGGGAGGCAGCAGUGGGGAAUAUUGGACAAUGGGGGAAACCCUGAUCCAGCCAUGCCGCGUGUGUGAAGAAGGCCUUUUGGUUGUAAAGCACUUUAAGCAGUGAAGAAGACUCCGUGGUUAAUACCCACGGACGAUGACAUUAGCUGCAGAAUAAGCACCGGCUAACUCUGUGCCAGCAGCCGCGGUAAUACAGAGGGGUGCAAGCGUUAAUCGGAAUUACUGGGCGUAAAGGGAGCGUAGGUGGCUCGAUAAGUCAGAUGUGAAAUCCCCGGGCUCAACCUGGGAACUGCAUCUGAUACUGUUGAGCUAGAGUAUGUGAGAGGAAGGUAGAAUUCCAGGUGUAGCGGUGAAAUGCGUAGAGAUCUGGAGGAAUACCGAUGGCGAAGGCAGCCUUCUGGCAUAAUACUGACACUGAGGCUCGAAAGCGUGGGUAGCAAACAGGAUUAGAUACCCUGGUAGUCCACGCCGUAAACGAUGUCUACUAGUCGUUGGGUCCCUUGAGGACUUAGUGACGCAGCUAACGCAAUAAGUAGACCGCCUGGGGAGUACGGCCGCAAGGUUAAAACUCAAAUGAAUUGACGGGGGCCCGCACAAGCGGUGGGAGCAUGUGGUUUUAAUUCGAUGCAACGCGAAGAACCUUACCUGGUCUUGACAUAUCUAGAAUCCUGCAGAGAUGCGGGAGUGCCUUCGGGAAUUAGAAUACAGGUGCUGCAUGGCUGUCGUCAGCUCGUGUCGUGAGAUGUUGGGUUAAGUCCCGCAACGAGCGCAACCCUUGUCCUUAGUUACCAGCGGGUUAAGCCGGGAACUCUAAGGAUACUGCCAGUGACAAACUGGAGGAAGGCGGGGACGACGUCAAGUCAUCAUGGCCCUUACGACCAGGGCUACACACGUGCUACAAUGGUAGGUACAGAGGGCAGCUACACAGCGAUGUGAUGCGAAUCUCAAAAAGCCUAUCGUAGUCCAGAUUGGAGUCUGCAACUCGACUCCAUGAAGUAGGAAUCGCUAGUAAUCGCGGAUCAGAAUGCCGCGGUGAAUACGUUCCCGGGCCUUGUACACACCGCCCGUCACACCAUGGGAGUUGAUUGCACCAGAAGUGGAUAGCUUAACC